UACGGGGGGGGGCAAGCGUUGUUCGGAAUUACUGGGCGUAAAGGGUUCGUAGGUGGCUUGCUAAGUCAGACGUGAAAUCCCUCAGCUUAACUGGGGAACUGCGUCUGAGACUGGUGAGCUUGAAUGCAGGAGAGGAACGCGGAAUUCCAGGUGUAGCGGUGAAAUGCGUAGAUAUCUGGAGGAACACCGGUGGCGAAGGCGGCGUUCUGGACUGCGAUUGACACUGAGGAACGAAAGCCAGGGGAGCAAA
RNAcentral lists this ribosomal RNA (250 nucleotides) under uncultured bacterium. Its description in RNAcentral is "partial 16S ribosomal RNA". It matches the Rfam family "Bacterial small subunit ribosomal RNA", at positions 524 to 772 of the family's 1533-position model. The record is from RNAcentral.